Molecule: transfer RNA, 70 nt
Filed under: Camelus bactrianus (Bactrian camel)
Lineage: Eukaryota; Metazoa; Chordata; Mammalia; Artiodactyla; Camelidae
Also listed under: 1 other name
Rfam family: tRNA
About the family: Transfer RNA (tRNA) molecules are approximately 80 nucleotides in length. Their secondary structure includes four short double-helical elements and three loops (D, anti-codon, and T loops).
Source: Rfam by way of RNAcentral
GGGUAUAGCUCAGUGGUGGAGUGCGUGCUUAGCAUGCACCAGGUCCUGGGUUCAACCCCCAGUACUUCCA